RNAcentral lists this small nuclear RNA (23 nucleotides) under Arabidopsis thaliana (thale cress). RNAcentral describes it as "snRNA_01913". Lineage: Eukaryota; Viridiplantae; Streptophyta; Magnoliopsida; Brassicales; Brassicaceae. The record is from RNAcentral.
UUAUCUUCCGCUUGAUUUUGUAU